This 494-nucleotide ribosomal RNA is filed under the name uncultured bacterium. Its description in RNAcentral is "partial 16S ribosomal RNA". It matches the Rfam family "Bacterial small subunit ribosomal RNA", at positions 28 to 507 of the family's 1533-position model. The record is from RNAcentral.
GACGAACGCUGGCGGCGUGCUUAACACAUGCAAGUCGAACGGAAAGGCCUGCUUUCCCUUGUGGAUUGCGGGUACUCGAGUGGCGAACGGGUGAGUAACACGUGAGUGAUCUGCCCCCAACUUGGGUAUAAGCCUGGGAAACUGGGUCUAAUUCCCGAUAGGACUGCAGGGUGGUGCCUGUGGUGGAAAACGAUUUUCUAGUGGUUGGGGAUGAGCUCGCGGCCUAUCAGCUUGUUGGUGGGGUAAUGGCCUACCAAGGCGGCGACGGGUAGCCGGCCUGAGAGGGUGGACGGCAACAUUGGGACUGAGAUACGGCCCAGACUCCUACGGGAGGCAGCAGUGGGGAAUAGUGCACAAUGGGCGGAAGCCUGAUGCAGCGACGCCGCGUGGGGGAUGACGGCCUUCGGGUUGUAAACUCCUUUCGACCGCGAGGACGCCACCUGGUUGGAAGGGUGGUGACGGUAGUGGUAGAAGAAGCACCGGCUAACUACGUG